CCGACUCUGGAAGGAACGUGAUGACCGCAUCGAGGAGCUAGAGAAUGAACGGAGAAGGCAUCAGGCCACCAAGGAGAGGUUGGCACUGGCAGAUGUAGAGUUGGCUUCCGCCAAAGAGGAAGUAAAGUCGGCCUAGGAAGCACUAAGUCGGACACAAGAGUAGAUCGUUGAUGAUUAUAAAGUAUCUGAGGAUUUCAAGAAUGA
RNAcentral lists this long non-coding RNA (204 nucleotides) under Elaeis guineensis (African oil palm). RNAcentral describes it as "long non-coding RNA (EGUI_LNC031638)". Lineage: Eukaryota; Viridiplantae; Streptophyta; Magnoliopsida; Arecales; Arecaceae. The record is from RNAcentral.